RNAcentral lists this ribosomal RNA (292 nucleotides) under uncultured bacterium. Its description in RNAcentral is "partial 16S ribosomal RNA". It matches the Rfam family "Bacterial small subunit ribosomal RNA", at positions 505 to 796 of the family's 1533-position model. The record is from RNAcentral.
GUGUCAGCCGCCGCGGUAAUACAGAGGUGGCAAGCGUUGUUCGGAAUUACUGGGCGUAAAGGGCGCGUAGGCGGCCAUCUAAGUCAGACGUGAAAUCCCCCGGCUUAACCUGGGAACUGCGUCUGAUACUGGAAGGCUCGAGUUUGGGAGAGGGAUGUGGAAUUCCAGGUGUAGCGGUGAAAUGCGUAGAUAUCUGGAGGAACACCGGUGGCGAAGGCGGCAUCCUGGACCAACACUGACGCUGAGGCGCGAAAGCUAGGGGAGCAAACGGGAUUAGAUACCCUCGUAGUCC